CCUACGGGAGGCAGCAGUGAGGAAUAUUGGUCAAUGGACGAGAGUCUGAACCAGCCAAGUAGCGUGAAGGAUGACUGCCCUAUGGGUUGUAAACUUCUUUUAUAUGGGAAUAAAAUGUUCCACGUGUGGGAUUUUGUAUGUACCAUAUGAAUAAGGAUCGGCUAACUCCGUGCCAGCAGCCGCGGUAAUACGGAGGAUCCGAGCGUUAUCCGGAUUUAUUGGGUUUAAAGGGAGCGUAGGUGGAUAGUUAAGUCAGUUGUGAAAGUUUGCGGCUCAACCGUAAAAUUGCAGUUGAAACUGGCAGUCUUGAGUACAGUAGAGGUGGGCUGAAUUCGUGGUGUAGCGGUGAAAUGCUUAGAUAUCACGAAGAACUCCGAUUGCGAAGGCAGUUCACUGGACUGCAACUGACACUGAGGCUCGAAAGUGUGGGUAUCAAACAGGAUUAGAUACCCCUGUAGUC
Molecule: ribosomal RNA, 460 nt
Filed under: uncultured bacterium
Lineage: Bacteria
Description: partial 16S ribosomal RNA
Rfam family: Bacterial small subunit ribosomal RNA
Source: RNAcentral